Molecule: ribosomal RNA, 143 nt
Filed under: uncultured eukaryote
Lineage: Eukaryota
Description: partial small subunit ribosomal RNA
Rfam family: Bacterial small subunit ribosomal RNA
Source: RNAcentral
GUACACACCGCCCGUCACACCAUGGGAGUGGGGGAUACCAGAGGUAGGUAGGGUAACCGCAAGGAGCCCGCUUACCACGGUAUGCUUCAUGACUGGGAUGAAGUCGUAACAAGGUAGCCGUAGGUGAACCUGCAGAAGGAUCA